GGGAACAGGACGGGGAACAUAAUGGAGCACAGAACGGGGCAUAGGAUGGGGAACAGGAUGGGGAAUACAAUGGGGCAUCAAAUGGGGCACAGAAUGGGGAACAGGAUGGGGCAUAGGAUGGGCACAGAAUGGGGCACAGGAUGGGGAACAGCCAGUGGAACACAUCAAAGGACCGGCUGACUUGAAAAGUGCCAGAGAUCCUCACGAGUGGGGUGGAACCACCACAGAACCACCACAGAACCAUCAGAGAACCACCACAGAACCACCACAGAACCAUCAGAGAACCACCACAGAACCACCACAGAACCAUCACAGAACCAUCACAGAACCACCGCAGAACCACCACAGAACCAUCACAGAACCAUCACAGAACCACCGCAGAACCACCACAGAACCACCGCAGAACCACCGCAGAACCACCGCAGAACCACCACAGAACCACCACAGAACCACCACAGAACCACCGCAGAAUAGCCCACUUCAGAUUGAACUCAACACAGAACCACCCAAGUGGGAUGGAAGCCAGCACAGGGAGGACCAAGUUGGAUGGAACCCAUCAGAGAACGGCCCAAGUUGGAUGGAAGCCAUCAUAGAACCAACCAAGUUGGGUGAAUCCCAUCGGAGAACGGCCCAAGGAAGAUGGAACCCAUCAGAGAACGGCCCAAGCGGGAUGGAAGCCAUCAGAGAACCAACCAAGGAAGUUGGAACCCAUCAUGGAAUGGCCCAAGUAAGAUGGAACCCAUCAGAGAACGGCCCAAGUUGGAAAGGAACCAUCAGAAAUAUCCCGAGUGGGAUGGAACCAGCACAGAACUGCCCGAGUUGGAUGGAACCCAUCAGAAAACCACUCGAGGUGGAUGGAACCCGUCAGAAAACCACUCGAGUUGGAUGGAACCCGUCAGAAAACCACUCGAGGUGGAUGGAACCCGUCAGAAAACCACUCGAGUUGGAUGGAACCCAUCAGAAAACCACUCGAGGUGGAUGGAAUCCAUCAGAAAACCACUCGAGGUGGAUGGAACCCGUCAGAAAACCGCCCGAGUUGGAUGGAA
This 1046-nucleotide long non-coding RNA is filed under the name Phasianus colchicus (ring-necked pheasant). Its description in RNAcentral is "lncRNA (ENSPCLG00000017212.1)". Lineage: Eukaryota; Metazoa; Chordata; Aves; Galliformes; Phasianidae. The record is from RNAcentral.